UAACAAAUUGUUGAUGAAGAUAUUUUGCUU
This 30-nucleotide non-coding RNA is filed under the name Rattus norvegicus (Norway rat). The record is from RNAcentral. Lineage: Eukaryota; Metazoa; Chordata; Mammalia; Rodentia; Muridae.